AUUAUCAAAACACUCUUCGCAGUAGGCUGUUGCAACGCCAAACAAACAAAUCAUGAAAGUGGAACAACUCUCGCACAACAGUUCCGAUUCGAUUUGGACUUUUACACCAAUUAGUCACAAAAUUUGUUUAAUUAAAACUAAGUGUAGCACAAAACGGCUUAAUCAAGACUGUAAAUUAAUAUUAAUUACAACUCCCAAAAAGGCUAUUCAGAUAUAACAAGCUCCUCCCGGUGAAUCGAACCCAAAAAAAAGACAUGGAGCAUGACAUUGUACGCAAGUAUUCCGACGAUCGAGUCAAAAUUUCCGGAUGGUCCGAACGCAUCCAGCAGUACCCGUACGACUGCUGCCUGUGGAACAGGGUGAGAGGAGGAGCGGCUUAUCGUACCUUCGGCUACACCACCAAACACUUCAUCCCGCGAACCACUGCGCAGGCAAUGAGCGAUACCGUCUGGGGUCACUUCCAGGAGCAGCAGCAGCAGCAUCAGCUGGCAUGCAUACGUGCGAAGGAAACGAUCCCGGCCGAGGUCAAACGAUGUCCAUACAUUACCAGCUAUCAGCGUGACUAUUUCGAUCGAUUUCCUGCCUUCCGGAAGUUGAUGAUGAUAAAUGCGCUCCAGAGUAGAAAGUGUUGAAAGACGGCAACCCACAAUACGGCGUGAGGGAUGCGGCGUCUCUAAAUUGAAAGAUGAUGAUUAUUUAUUCGCUCUCGAGUCGACAAGCGCACCAUAUGGUUUCUUUCAAUGGAUUUGGUACAUGGAAAACGGCGGGAAACAAUCAUUUUUGAGGCAAUUUUCAUGCUCCGAGGAAAGCUAGAAAAGGUAGAAGAAAAUGAGUUUCCAUUUCUCUGUUUUUACCGGGUGAAUUUUGUUCCACGAUACCAACAUCGAAGUAUGAAGCGUGCAAUUUGAUAAAUGGAAAAAAUUUAAAAAUCAUUCCAGG
Molecule: RNA transcript, 939 nt
Organism: Anopheles merus
Lineage: Eukaryota; Metazoa; Arthropoda; Insecta; Diptera; Culicidae
Exons: 5
Source: RefSeq, a predicted model, not a curated record